Molecule: ribosomal RNA, 457 nt
Filed under: uncultured Enterobacteriaceae bacterium
Lineage: Bacteria; Pseudomonadati; Pseudomonadota; Gammaproteobacteria; Enterobacterales; Enterobacteriaceae
Description: bacterial SSU rRNA
Rfam family: Bacterial small subunit ribosomal RNA
Source: RNAcentral
ACAAGCGGUGGAGCAUGUGGUUUAAUUCGAUGCAACGCGAAGAACCUUACCUACUCUUGACAUCCAGAGAAUUUGCUAGAGAUAGCUUAGUGCCUUCGGGAACUCUGAGACAUGUGCUGCAUGGCUGUCGUCAGCUCGUGUUGUGAAAUGUUGGGUUAAGUCCCGCAACGAGCGCAACCCUUAUCCUUUGUUGCCAGCGAGUAAUGUCGGGAACUCAAAGGAGACUGCCGGUGAUAAACCGGAGGAAGGUGGGAUGACGUCAAGUCAUCAUGGCCCUUACGAGUAGGGCUACACACGUGCUACAAUGGCAUAUACAAAGAGAAGCGAACUCGCGAGAGCAAGCGGACCUCAUAAAGUAUGUCGUAGUCCGGAUUGGAGUCUGCAACUCGACUCCAUGAAGUCGGAAUCGCUAGUAAUCGUAGAUCAGAAUGCUACGGUGAAUACGUUCCCGGGCCUU